GGAUUGUAGCUCAGUGGUAGAGUGUCUGUCUGGUACAUGUGGGGUGCUGGAUUCAAUCCUCAGCACCA
This 68-nucleotide transfer RNA is filed under the name Marmota monax (woodchuck). RNAcentral's name for it is "tRNA.Thr". The record is from RNAcentral. Lineage: Eukaryota; Metazoa; Chordata; Mammalia; Rodentia; Sciuridae.